RNAcentral lists this ribosomal RNA (253 nucleotides) under uncultured bacterium. RNAcentral's name for it is "partial 16S ribosomal RNA". It matches the Rfam family "Bacterial small subunit ribosomal RNA", at positions 524 to 776 of the family's 1533-position model. The record is from RNAcentral.
UACGGAGGGUGCAAGCGUUAUCCGGAAUCACUGGGUUUAAAGGGUGCGUAGGCGGCUUGGUAAGUCAGGGGUGAAAGCCUCCCGCUCAACGGGAGGACUGCCUUUGAUACUGCCGGGCUUGAAUCAGGCCGAGGGCGGCGGAAUGUGGCAUGUAGCGGUGAAAUGCAUAGAUAUGCCAUAGAACACCGAUUGCGAAGGCAGCUGCCUGGGCCUGGAUUGACGCUGAGGCACGAAAGCGUGGGGAGCGAACAGG